GAUCCUGGCUCAGGAUGAACGCUGGCGGCGUGCCUAACACAUGCAAGUCGAGCGAUUUACUUCGGUAAAGAGCGGCGGACGGGUGAGUAACGCGUGGGUAACCUGCCCUAUACACACGGAUAACAUACCGAAAGGUAUGCUAAUACGGGAUAACAUAAGAGAUUCGCAUGGAUUUCUUAUCAAAGCUUUUGCGGUAUAGGAUGGACCCGCGUCUGAUUAGCUAGUUGGUAAGGUAACGGCUUACCAAGGCG
RNAcentral lists this ribosomal RNA (251 nucleotides) under uncultured bacterium. RNAcentral describes it as "partial 16S ribosomal RNA". It matches the Rfam family "Bacterial small subunit ribosomal RNA", at positions 15 to 275 of the family's 1533-position model. The record is from RNAcentral.